UUGGUGUCCAUUGGUGAUUGGGUCCUGAAAGCAGAACGUCCCACAUGGAUACACUUGUCCCACUGCAAGCCUGUGGCGCCCUUUUCAUUCAACGACGAGUAGCGGUGGAAGUCCGGCUACAAAGGUGCAUGCCUCCACCUGGUCCCUGCUUUCAAUGCAGAGCACAAUGUCACGCCUCCUCGAGCAGUCACCUUAUUGUGGUGGAGGGGUUUGUGUGUCCCGAUGAUCCUAGGAGCUAACAUGUCUGGGGCUUCAUAACCCUGGUUGGGUCAACCAUGGCAAAAAGGUGAGGGACCAGACAAAGUAUGACUCCAAAACCGCUAUCACGAGUACAAAAGUUGGAUAUUGGUUUCUCUUGCUCGGAUGCAGGUCACCGGGUUCCCCCCUAUGGAGCCAGGCCCGGAGGUGGGGCUCAAAGGCAAGCGCCUGGUGGCCACGCCUGCAUCCAUGGGGCUCAGCCAACCACAGCUUGAAAGGGAAAGGGAAACAUGGGUCCCCCUUCCCAUGGUCUAACCACCUGUGAGAGGAGCCAAAGGGGUCAGGUGCGAUGUGACUUGGGCUGUGGCCAAAGGCGGGGACCUUGGCGAUCUAAUCACCGGCUACAGAAGCUAGCUCUAGAGACAUGGAACGUCACGUCACCUCUUUGGCAGGGAAGGAGCCCGAGUUGGUGCAUGAGGUCGAGAAGUUCCGACGAAAUGUAGUUUGACUCACCUCUACAUGCCGCUUGGGCUCUGGCAGCACUACUCUUGAGAAGGGUUGGACUCUGUUCCACUCUGGACUUGCCCAUGGUGUGAGACACCGAGCAGGUGUGGGUAUACUUAUUGCCGCCUGGCUUGGGGCCUGUACGUUGGGGUUUACCCCAGUGGAUGAGAGGUGUCUUUAUCCAGCUAACGACCUCAAUCAUUAAAAAAUUAUACUUUA
Syngnathoides biaculeatus (alligator pipefish) is the source of this 921-nucleotide long non-coding RNA. RefSeq lists it as uncharacterized. The transcript is spliced from 2 exons. The record is from RefSeq and is a predicted model, not a curated record. Lineage: Eukaryota; Metazoa; Chordata; Actinopteri; Syngnathiformes; Syngnathidae.